Crotalus tigris (Tiger rattlesnake) is the source of this 1308-nucleotide long non-coding RNA. RefSeq lists it as uncharacterized. The record is from RefSeq and is a predicted model, not a curated record. NCBI's taxonomy places the organism in Eukaryota, Metazoa, Chordata, Lepidosauria, Squamata, Viperidae. The transcript is spliced from 3 exons.
UAUUUAUUAUUAUAGAUAACUUGUAUUCUGUAGUUUGAUAAAAUUCCUGCUUUUCUUACAUAUGGGCUCCAGAUUGCAAUCAGACUUAAGAGCUAAUCUUUCUGGGCUACUUGCCAACAUAGUGAAAGGGUAUUUUAGAGGUCAGCAGUGAAUAGACUAUUUGGAUCAAGAUAGGUGUAUGAAAAUAAGUUUUACCUUUAUCACUGCUAGGAGAGUGGAGUAGAAAGGGGAAAAAAGGGCUUGGACAUAUUUUGUGUUAUUCUUUUAGAUGAAUUCCAAUAUAAUGUUAAAUUGAGCAAGAUUUAUCAUCUACAAGCAAUUCAAAAUAAACCAAGUACAAUAAUUUUAUGUAAUGUAGAACUAUGUAAUGAUUAGUUAUACUUCUGCCAUUAUACUAAUAGUAUCUGAGCUUUCUUAAGAAAGCUUCUCAUGUUUUAUUUUUUACUCUUAGAUAAAUGGGAAUUCAUGUAUACAUGUAUUAAAUAGAAUUAAUUGCAUAAAUUACAUGUAAGUAUCAUAGUAGACCAACUUUUUUCAGCUGCUCCAGAAGUGGAAAAAAACGAUUUUAUUAUUCAACUUAACAAGUGCUAUAUUUCAGUCGAUACUUUUUAUUAACUUCCUGAGUUAUAACUAGCAAAUUUUUUUCUUGGUCUGGUUUAGAGAAAUUCUAAAUAAAAGGUAAACAGCCUUUUGGGGGGCACAGGACUAUGCUCAACCUUGCCGGGGAUUGUCAUGGACUGCAAUUCAAAAAGCAGAAGCCGGUUGGGAAGAUUGCAAAUGGUGAUGACAUGACCCUGGGAUGCUGUAACCAUUGUAAAUACAUGCCAAGCACCUGAAUUUUGAUCCAUGUGAUUGUGGAGAUUCUACGGCAGUUGAAGUUGAAUUCUGCGCUCGUUCUUCUAGCCAAUAAAUGAAUGGCAGAAAUGUCGCCUUGGCAGAAAUAAAGGAGAUCAAAGCCAGCUGCUGGAAAGGAGAUCUAGUUUAUUCAGAAGCGAACUACUCGGCAUCAGUUCUGGGACACCUGACAUCCUGGUUUGGUGAGCAGAUGGAUUUUUAUAUGGUUUCUGAGCUUUUAAUUGAAAUAUCCAGAUUUGGUGAGCAUGGGCUUGUAUGUGUGUUUUUUAAUAUUUUAAUUGUGGUGGGCCAGCUCCUUAUUGAGGUUGAGGAGUUAUGUUCUGCACUCUAGGUCAAGUGAGGGAAUGUAGAUUAAAUGUUAUUGUUUGUGUUUUAAUCCCUUUAGUCUUCGACUUCUUGUGAAACCUGUAGCCGGCAAUCAUUCUGUUUGUGAGUAGGCUAUAGCCUGCAGCA